CCUACGGGAGGCUGCAGUGAGGAAUCUUUGUCAAUGGGCGCUAGCCUGAACCAGCCAAGUAGCGUGAAGGAUCACUGCCCUAUGGUUUUUAAACGUCUUUUAUAUGGGAAUAAAGUGCAGUAUGUAUACUGCUUUGCAUGUACCUUAUGAAUAAGGAUCGGCUAACUCCGUGCCAGCAGCCGCGGUAAUACGGAGGAUCCGAGCGUUAUCCGGAGUUAUUGGGUUUAAAGGGAUCGUAGGCGGGUUGUUAAGUCAGUUGUGAAAGUUUGCGGCUCAACAGUAAAAUUGCAGGUGAUACUGGCAUCCUUGAGUACAGUAGAGGUAGGUGGAAUUCGUGGUGUAGCGGUGAAAUGCUUAGAUAUUACGAAGAACUCCGAUUGCGAAGGCAGCCUGCUGGACUGUAACUGACGCUGAUGCUCGAAAGUGUAGGUAUCAAACAGGAUUAGAUACCCCGGUAGUC
This 460-nucleotide ribosomal RNA is filed under the name uncultured bacterium. RNAcentral describes it as "partial 16S ribosomal RNA". It matches the Rfam family "Bacterial small subunit ribosomal RNA", at positions 338 to 795 of the family's 1533-position model. The record is from RNAcentral.